Molecule: ribosomal RNA, 410 nt
Filed under: Chlorepyris sp.
Lineage: Eukaryota; Metazoa; Arthropoda; Insecta; Hymenoptera; Bethylidae
Description: partial large subunit ribosomal RNA
Source: RNAcentral
UUUUUUUUGAUUAAAAUUUAAAAUAUGUUCUGCUCANUGAUUUUAUUUAAUAGCUGCAGUAAUUUAACUGUACAAAGGUAGCAUAAUAAAUUGUUAUUUAAAUGAUAACUUGUAUGAAGGAAUUAAUGAAAUAUAAACUUUAUUUAAAUAAUAUAUUGAAUUUUAUUUUUAAGUAAAAAAGCUUAAAUUUUUUAUUGGGACGAGAAGACCCUAUAGAAUUUUAUAUUUAAAAUAAAUUAAUUUAUUUUAAAUAUUUUUUUGGGGAGAAAAUAAAAUUUAAAUUACUUUUAUUAAUAAUUUAAACAUAAAUAAAUGUUUUGGAAAGAAUUUAUUAAAAUAAAUUAAAGAUUAAAUUACCUUAGGGAUAACAGUGUAAUAUUUUUUUAUAGUUCUUAUAGAAAAAAAUGUUU